GACGAACCGUGCAAACGUUAUUCGGAAUCACUGGGCUUAAAGGGCGCGUAGGCGGAUUGCCAAGUCGGUGGUGAAAUCGUUCGGCCCAACCGGACAAGUGCCGCCGAUACUGGCAGUCUCGAGGGAGGUAGGGGUCGAGGGAACUGGUGGUGGAGCGGUGAAAUGCGUAGAUAUCUGGAGGAACACCGGUGGCGAAGGCGGCAUCCUGGACCAACACUGACACUGAGGAGCGAAAGCCAGGGGAGCAAACGGG
RNAcentral lists this ribosomal RNA (253 nucleotides) under uncultured bacterium. RNAcentral's name for it is "partial 16S ribosomal RNA". It matches the Rfam family "Bacterial small subunit ribosomal RNA", at positions 524 to 776 of the family's 1533-position model. The record is from RNAcentral.